Molecule: long non-coding RNA, 1247 nt
Organism: Mauremys mutica (yellowpond turtle)
Lineage: Eukaryota; Metazoa; Chordata; Testudines; Geoemydidae
Exons: 7
Source: RefSeq, a predicted model, not a curated record
UACAGACUGACCCUCAAGUCCAUUAAGCAGCCUGUGGAAAAUAAAGUUUUGCAUGGUAAGAACUGCACUACAGGCAUAUAGAACAUCCACAGUGGACUGAUUUUUGAGGGAGCUGAAGCACAGAGACAUAUGGAGGAUGUGCCCCAUCAUAUUGUGGCUCUUGAAGACAAAAUCGUCUACAGUGUUAUAGUUAUUCCCAGAAGUACCACUUUUGAUUUGCUGUGCUUCCUGAAAUGGUGUGGCAACAUGGCAGUUCUGACCGGGUUGGAGCUGUCAUUGUGCCUCUUAGAAAUCAGUGACUAAAUCAUGCCCCAUAGAACCAUCCAAGAAGGGGACUCUAGCCAGGUGGAAGCUGGGUCAGUAACUGUGUGGGAGCUGAUGGGAAUAAACUGCCACAUGGAAGAGAGAUGCCAUGUUGUUGAAGCCAUGCUGGUCCCAGGAUAGGAGAGACACAAGGAACUUCCCUGCAGUGGUGACAGCAAGCUUGUAUUGUGAUGCCACUAAUACCACCAACUCUGAUGGCAAGAACAGAAAUGUCAAGCUCAGAAUCUCACUUGGUGAACUCUGCCAACCUCAUAACUUCUGUUUGAGCUACAGCACAUCUUUUAGAAAGACAUGCGGUCUUCAGAAAGGAGGAGAGUAGCUUCUUUCAAGUGUCAUAUUACAGGGCUGUAAGGGACUUCAAGAGGUCAUCUAGUCCAUCCCCUCAGGCUGAAGCCGGAUUAAGUAUGCCUAGACCAUCCUUGACAGGUGUUUAUCUAACUUGUUCUUAAACCUACAAGAACAGGGAUUCCACAACCUGCCAAGAUACAGCAUUGAUCUUUCUGGGCUAGACUGCGACUUCGCCUACGUGUCUGUGCUGGGGACUGAGAGAGAGUAAGGGUAUUUCUACACUAGUGACUGGACAUGUAUCCAGGCACUUAGUUGCACCAUAACCCCUCUAUUGUUCCUAUUGUCCACACCUAAACCCCAGGAGUACGUGGCUGAAGGUGAGUACAGGGCGAGUAAGCUAGCACACCUCUGGCGUAUCGGUAAGUACAUACCUCAGGCUGUCACAUGACCCUUUACCCAUGUCAGUGUGCUGUGCAGACAGGGAUAAGAGGUGUGUACCAAGUCUUGAGUUUCAGUAGUUCGCCACCCUAUUCCCCAAAAUGCACUGACCUCUGACCCUUACCCUAAUCUAUAAAGGUACCUGUCCCCCCCCACCCCCCAUUUUCACUGGUCGUAGUGAUCUGUGCUAACCACAU